RNAcentral lists this unclassified non-coding RNA (168 nucleotides) under rhizosphere metagenome. RNAcentral describes it as "partial ribosomal RNA internal transcribed spacer region". The record is from RNAcentral.
AGUAGCGGUCCCCGGCCUCGGUCGGGGUGCCCCUCACCCUUUGCGUACCUUCUGAGCGUUGCUUUGGCGGGCUCGCGCCCGCCAGAGGCCUUUACCACCGAUAUUUUUGAACUGUCUGAGUGUCUAUGACAAUAAAUUAAAACUUUCAACAACGGAUCUCUUGGUUCC